ACAUGCAAGUCGUAACAUGGAUAGCCAGACUUGCUGGGUGGAUUAGUGGCGAACGGGUGAGUAACACGUGAGUAACCUGCCCUUGACUCUGGGAUAAGCGUUGGAAACGACGUCUAAUACCGGAUACGAGCUUCCACCGCAUGGUGAGUUGCUGGAAAGAAUUUUGGUCAAGGAUGGACUCGCGGCCUAUCAGCUUGUUGGUGAGGUAACGGCUCACCAAGGCGACGACGGGUAGCCGGCCUGAGAGGGUGACCGGCCACACUGGGACUGAGACACGGCCCAGACUCCUACGGGAGGCAGCAGUGGGGAAUAUUGCACAAUGGGCGAAAGCCUGAUGCAGCAACGCCGCGUGAGGGACGACGGCCUUCGGGUUGUAAACCUCUUUUAGCAGGGAAGAAGCGAAAGUGACGGUACCUGCAGAAAAAGCACCGGCUAACUACGUGCCAGCAGCCGCGGUAAUACGUAGGGUGCAAGCGUUGUCCGGAAUUAUUGGGCGUAAAGAGCUCGUAGGCGGUUUGUCGCGUCUGCUGUGAAAUCCCGAGGCUCAACCUCGGGUCUGCAGUGGGUACGGGCAGACUAGAGUGCGGUAGGGGAGAUUGGAAUUCCUGGUGUAGCGGUGGAAUGCGCAGAUAUCAGGAGGAACACCGAUGGCGAAGGCAGAUCUCUGGGCCGCUACUGACGCUGAGGAGCGAAAGGGUGGGGAGCAAACAGGCUUAGAUACCCUGGUAGUCCACCCCGUAAACGUUGGGCGCUAGAUGUGGGGACCAUUUCCACGGUUUCCGUGUCGUA
Molecule: ribosomal RNA, 789 nt
Filed under: unidentified microorganism
Description: bacterial SSU rRNA
Rfam family: Bacterial small subunit ribosomal RNA
Source: RNAcentral